RNAcentral lists this ribosomal RNA (360 nucleotides) under uncultured bacterium. RNAcentral describes it as "partial 16S ribosomal RNA". It matches the Rfam family "Bacterial small subunit ribosomal RNA", at positions 338 to 696 of the family's 1533-position model. The record is from RNAcentral.
CCUACGGGGAGCAGCAGUGAGGAAUUUUUGUCAAUGGCCGCAGGGCUGAACCAGCCAAGUCGCGUGAGGGAUGAAGUUCCUAUGAAUUGUAAACCUCUUUUAUCAGGGAGCAAAGGGCGCCACGUGUGGCGCUUUGCGAGUACCUGGAGAAAAUGCAUCGGCUCACUCCGUGCCAGCAGCCGCGGUCAUACGGAGGAUGCGAUCUUUAUCCGGAUUUAUUGGGUUUAAAGGGUGCGCAGGCGGAAUGUCAAGUCAGCGGUAAAAUUGCGGGGCUCAACCCCGUCGUGCAGUUGAAACUGGCGUUCUUGAGUGAGCGAGAAGUAUGCGGAACGAGAGGUGUAGCGGUGAAAUGCAUAGAUA